This 373-nucleotide ribosomal RNA is filed under the name uncultured organism. RNAcentral describes it as "partial 16S ribosomal RNA". It matches the Rfam family "Bacterial small subunit ribosomal RNA", at positions 527 to 896 of the family's 1533-position model. The record is from RNAcentral.
GUAGGUGGCAAGCGUUGUCCGGAAUUAUUGGGCGUAAGGCGCGCGCAGGCGGUUCUUUAAGUCUGAUGUGAAAGCCCACGGCUCAACCGUGGAGGGUCAUUGGAAACUGGAGAACUUGAGUACAGAAGAGGAAAGCGGAAUUCCACGUGUAGCGGUGAAAUGCGUAGAGAUGUGGAGGAACACCAGUGGCGAAGGCGGCUUUCUGGUCUGUAACUGACGCUGAGGCGCGUAAGCGUGGGGAGCAAACAGGGAUUAGAUACCCUGGUAGUCCACGCCGUAAACGAUGAGUGCUAAGUGUUAGGGGGUUUCCGCCCCCUUAGUGCUGCAGCUAACGCAUUAAGCACUCCGCCUGGGGAGUACGGCCGCAAGGCUG